This is a long non-coding RNA of Gadus morhua (Atlantic cod), 2080 nucleotides long. RefSeq lists it as uncharacterized. The record is from RefSeq and is a predicted model, not a curated record. The transcript has 7 exons. Lineage: Eukaryota; Metazoa; Chordata; Actinopteri; Gadiformes; Gadidae.
CUGAUUGGCUGUUACGUUACACAUGUAACUCAGUGGCCACGCUGUUGAACGCUGAUUGGCUGUCAUAUGCGUCAUCACGCGGAAUUCGCGUCAUCACGCGAAAUUUGCAUCAAAGUUCAAAUAUUUGAACUCGAGCAAAUUUUUCGCGCAACAGAUUCUCGUGAACACGCUCGCCUGUGCACGGUAAAAGGGUGGCGCGACAAGUUUUGACUUUGACUUGUCGCCGAUUUUCUCUCGCAAAUUCCUUUUUUGGCGAAAAAUUCGCAAAAUCUUUUGCAAAGCGUUUUGCAUAAUCUUUUGCAAAACGUGUUUUGCGGAUUGAAAUGUCAUCUGAAUUUUGCAACACACGGAGCGAGGCGAACGUUUUGCAAAACGUUUUACAAAACGUAACGUAUGUGUCAGCAAUGGAGGAGAUUGUUGAUGCGCUCCGAAGUUUGGCCGAUGAUGUGGAGAACAAUCGUGUUGAAGACACAGAUGCAGUAGAUAGAGUGCGUGUUCUUGGAGAUAGGAUGUAUGACUUAUCCUCACUGGUAUGUUUUGACGCCAGUGUGGUAAACACAAAGAUUUCCCAAGUCCUACAGGCACUGAGUGCGAAACGUAGGGUCGGGAGACCCACCGUGGAGAUACCCUUGGAGUCAAUAGAGGGAUACCUCUCCCUUGGCCUAAAGGGGCAGGAGAUUGCGGACCUGUAUGGUGUCCACAGAACCACCGUACACCGCAAAAUGCAACAAAAUGGACUCAGUAUCGUAGGAGAGAGAUGACGCUUGGCUCACCUGGAUCAGGCUGAGCACCCGGUCGUGCAGAACCAGGUUACACCUGUAACCACAGGUGUCGGAUGACUGUGCUUAUGUGUGUGGCGAGUAGGCCUAUGUGUGUCAGCCAUGUAUUCUGAGAUGAGUGACACGCAGCUGGACGCCCUGGUGCUGGAGAUCCACAGGAUCCAUCUGUGUGGCUACCGGAUGUUGCGAUACCAUCUCCAGGGAAGAGGCCAUCUGGUCCAAAUUCACAGAGUACGCCAAUCCUUAAAAAGAGUGAAACCAGAGGGCACAGAACAAAGAGCCCUGGCCAACCGAACUCCACAUAGGCGGCAAUAUUCAGUUCCUGGGCCCAACUUUGGAGAUUUGUUAUCCACCGUGGGAUGUAUGGCUUCAGCCGCCUAGUGGUGUUCUUGUCAGCAGCCACCAACAACCGUGCCACAACAUUGCUGGAUGCUUUUCUUGGAGCUGUCAGGCAGUAUGGUGUGCCAUCUUGUGUCCGGUCGGAUAAGGGGAGAGAGAACAUUGAGGUGGCAUAUUACAUGUUGGACAACUGCGGAUCCAACCGCAAUUCCCACAUAACUGGGAGGAGUGUGCAUAAUCAAAGAAUUGAGGGACUUUAGAGAGAUGUAUACACACAAGUGCUCGAUCUCUUCCACGAAAUGGAAGCAUCACGGACGUUGAAUCCAGACAGUGAGAUCCACCUCUUCGCUCUCCACUGGGUUUUCCUGACAUUGGUCCAGAGCCAUCUCAGGCAUUUCCAAGAUGCCUGGAAUUUCCACAGCCUGAGGACUGAAAAUAGCUAGUCACGCUACCAGCUGUGGCUACGCAACAUACGUGCUGUUGCUGAUCCCCCAGAUGUAGGUUCAGCUAUAAAGAUUGGCCCAAAACGAGGAUAUUACGAUAAGUUGACGAUCUUUAUAGUGCCAGUGUAGAUGGUCCGGACCUGGAAGACCUGUCUGGAGUCGACGUUCCGGAGAUCCAACUACCACGUGACCUGACUGCUGAGGAGCUCUCACGAUUGCCUCAGCGAAAUGUUUCACUGAAUGAGGCUAUGUUGUUUGCAGCUCAGUUGUUGAGCAGUCACAAGACAUUUUUCAAACAGCAUGAUGUUCUCUCCAAGGAUUUACAAAUUUGUAAAUAUAUAUGAAUCUACCUUCCCCUUUACAUGCAGUGUAUGCUUAAUUCUUCCUCAUCCAAACAUACUGCCGUUCCAUUGACAUGAACUGAACCAACAUAAUAUAAGUGAGUGACAAUACUGUGACAAACUAGCUUCUGCCUAUUGAGCUUUGCUUUUAUUAAAAAAUGACCUUUUUUUCAUUGCA